AUGCCACCCAGCCCCCCUCGUGGCCCCAGGACCUCUCCCGACCCUGCACCACCGGGGGCGGGCUCCCGCAGGCGCUGGAAGGACCCCAGCCUCGCAGACCCCCCGGCCUCCCCGUGGGCCGCGGGGAGCAGCCUCAGGAGCACACUAGGCGGGGAGCAGGGACCCAGGGGUGGGGCCGGGCUGGCCCUGGGGGAGACCUGGGCAGGCUGCCUCGCCGAUGGGGACCCGCCACCGCCUGGGGUCCCGGGAGCAGGGACGGGGGCCGGUAGAGCAGGGCUGCGCCCGAGGGCGGCCACCGGGCAGCCCCGAGCCAGGGAGGCGGGCGUCCCGGGCCGGCGUCGCCUGCGUGGGCAGGUGCUGCGGGGGAACCAACCUGCGGGCCCGAGGCCCCAGGGCGCUGCGGGACCCACGGAGGGCCUGGCGGCGCCAGGCAGGGGCGCUGGGCCAGGGUCGCGCCCCGCGGACCCCUCCUGCCGUCGGGACCGCGGCCCCUCCCCGGGGCGUGUGGUGGGCGGGGCUACGGGUUGUGGGCGGGGCCCGGCCCCGGGGCCUGUGGUGGGCGGGUUUGUGGGCGGGGCCCCAGCGGGCUCCCGGGGCGUGUCGUGGGCGGGGCUACGGGUUGUGGGCGGGGCCCCGGCCCGAGGCCUGUGGAGGGCGGGUUUGUGGGCGGGGCUCCAGCGGGCUCCCGGGGCGUGUGGUGGGCGGGGCUACGGGUUGUGGGCGGGGCCCGCCCCCGGGGCCUGUGGUGGGCGGGUUUGUGGGCGGGGCUCCAGCGGUCUGUGGGGCGGGCGGCGGGCGGGGCCCCGGCCCCGGGGCCUGUGGUGGGCGGGGCUCCAGCGGGCUCCCGGGGCGUGUCGUGGGCGGGGCUACGGGUUGUGGGCGGGGCCCCGGCCCGAGCCCUGUGGUGGGCGGGUUUGUGGGCGGGGCUCCAGCGGGCUCCCGGGGCGUGUCGUGGGCGGGGCUACGGGGUUGUGGGCGGGGCUCCAGCGGUCUGUAGGGCGGGCGGCGGGCGGGGCCCCAGCCCCGGGGCCUGUGGUGGGCGGGGCUCCAGCGGGCUCCCGGGGCGUGUCGUGGGCGGGGCUACGGGGUUGUGGGCGGGGCCCCGACCCCGGGCGUACGGUGGGCGGGGCUCCCCGGGGCGUGUCGUGGGCGGGGCUACAGCGGGCUCCCGGGGCGUGUCGUGGGCGGGGCUCCCUCAGCCUGUUUCCCCCCCCCCCCAAUGGGGCGCGGCUGCUCCGGCGCGCUCAGCCUCCCGGCCUGGCGGUGACUCACCGCCGGGUGGGGUCGGUGCGUAAACACCCCGCGGGGGGAGUGGGGGUGCUGAAGUCCUGCUCCUGCGACUCCGCGUCGUCCCCAGGGCCCCGCGACCCGAGGUCCUGCCAGCCUGUGCUCCCAGCCUCCAGGCCCAGGUCCAGGGAGCAGUUCCCGAAGCCCCUGCCCUUGCAGCCCCUCGCCCCCCUCCCCCCUGAGCUGAGCCCUUCGAGCCCGAGGGGCCCUGGUGUCCCCUCCUAG
Molecule: long non-coding RNA, 1512 nt
Filed under: Canis lupus familiaris (dog)
Lineage: Eukaryota; Metazoa; Chordata; Mammalia; Carnivora; Canidae
Description: lncRNA (ENSCAFG00030000651.1)
Source: RNAcentral